RNAcentral lists this ribosomal RNA (309 nucleotides) under uncultured Streptococcus sp. RNAcentral describes it as "partial 16S ribosomal RNA". It matches the Rfam family "Bacterial small subunit ribosomal RNA", at positions 1 to 296 of the family's 1533-position model. Lineage: Bacteria; Bacillati; Bacillota; Bacilli; Lactobacillales; Streptococcaceae. The record is from RNAcentral.
CGAAUUCGCCCUUAGAGUUUGAUCCUGGCUCAGGACGAACGCUGGCGGCGUGCCUAAUACAUGCAAGUAGAACGCUGAAGGAGGAGCUUGCUUCUCUGGAUGAGUUGCGAACAGGUGAGUAACGCGUAGGUAACCUGCCUGGUAGCGGGGGAUAACUAUUGGAAACGAUAGCUAAUACCGCAUAACAGUAGAUGUUGCAUGACAUUUGCUUAAAAGGUGCAAUUGCAUCACUACCAGAUGGACCUGCGUUGUAUUAGCUAGUUGGUGGGGUAACGGCUCACCAAGGCGACGAUACAUAGCCGACCUGAG